RNAcentral lists this ribosomal RNA (472 nucleotides) under uncultured bacterium. RNAcentral's name for it is "partial 16S ribosomal RNA". It matches the Rfam family "Bacterial small subunit ribosomal RNA", at positions 28 to 507 of the family's 1533-position model. The record is from RNAcentral.
GACGAACGCUGGCGGCGUGCUUAACACAUGCAAGUCGAACGCUGAAGCUUGGUGCUUGCACUGUGUGGAUGAGUGGCGAACGGGUGAGUAAUACGUGAGUAACCCGCCCUUGACUCUGGUAUAAUCCUGGGAAACGGGGUCUAAUACUGGAUACGACAUGCCACUGCAUGGUGGUGUGUGGAAAGGGGUUUACUGGUUUUGGAUGGGCUCACGGCCUAUCAGCUUGUUGGUGGGGUAAUGGCCUACCAAGGCGACGACGGGUAGCCGGCCUGAGAGGGUGACCGGCCACACUGGGACUGAGACACGGCCCAGACUCCUACGGGAGGCAGCAGUGGGGAAUAUUGCACAAUGGGCGGAAGCCUGAUGCAGCGACGCCGCGUGAGGGAUGACGGCCUUCGGGUUGUAAACCGCUUUCAGCAGGGACGAAGCGAGAGUGACGGUACGUGCAGAAGAAGCGCCGGCUAACUACGUG